CCUGUGGGGCGGUACGCAAGGACGCACGCCCGAUCCUGAGCAGCCCUUCUUUAGACCAUUUAUCAGGAUUGUGUCAGGGUCCAUUGAUCCUGUGAAGUUGGGUUGAGAUGUCUGUGCUUUGUUUUUGUGUGGUUUGUUGAUUAAACGUGCAGCUCAGGGCGUCCAAGAUACCUGACAGCGAAUUCACCACCCUGCCCAAUGGCCUCAACAAGUAAGCGCUUCAUCUGAUUUAGUUUGUGUUGCUGUCAUUUUGGGAGAAAUUUGGUUCUGUUUUUAGUGUCUCAUGUAUUAGCAUGGGUAUGAAUCAGAGUUCAAAAUAGGUCGUUUCACUGACAUAAAAUCUUUAUUCAGAGAUCAGGCAUUUUGCUGAUCCUUGUUUCACUAAAAAGAUAAAGCAUGCUUUUCUAUUGCCUGAAUCUGCAAAGUACUUAUCAAAUUUCGGACUAGGUACUAUGAUAUCAAAGUAGGAAGCGGGGCUCAAGCUGUUAAGGGAUCCCGUGUUGCGGUAAGUACCACCACAAUUUGUGUAUCUAGGAUCUAGCAUGAUAUAGCCUUAAUGGACGAAUCAAAUAUAGUUGACGCUGAAUGCAAUAAUCCAAGGAAUAGAGGAAUGGUGACCAUGAGGUCCCUUGACUCCUGAGACUGGGAAGUCUGAAUUGUAUUCAUUUGCUUACCGAUUUGAAGACGAAAUCUUGUUUUCUAAUGUGCUCUUGUUUUUUUAAUCAUGUGAAUAAAAUAAUGACUUGCUUGAAAUUAUAUAUGGCUUGUAUAAUUUUUUAAAGUAUGGAUGCAUGGACGAUUUAUUUAUAUAAAAUAGUUAGGGAGGAUGUAAAUAUGUCUGGAGAUAUAAAAAUAGUGUAAACGACAAACUCUGUUGAAACAAAUUGGUUUUUUUUAAAAGCAUUUCCUAUAAAAAACCGUAGCGUUAGCACGGGCAUUAUA
RNAcentral lists this long non-coding RNA (942 nucleotides) under Sorghum bicolor (sorghum). RNAcentral's name for it is "long non-coding RNA (SBIC_LNC018337)". Lineage: Eukaryota; Viridiplantae; Streptophyta; Magnoliopsida; Poales; Poaceae. The record is from RNAcentral.